This 813-nucleotide ribosomal RNA is filed under the name Listeria monocytogenes. Its description in RNAcentral is "partial 23S ribosomal RNA". It matches the Rfam family "Bacterial large subunit ribosomal RNA", at positions 1 to 808 of the family's 2925-position model. The record is from RNAcentral. Lineage: Bacteria; Bacillati; Bacillota; Bacilli; Caryophanales; Listeriaceae.
UUGGUUAAGUUAGAAAGGGCGCACGGUGGAUGCCUUGGCACUAGGAGCCGAAGAAGGACGGGACUAACACCGAUAUGCUUUGGGGAGCUGUACGUAAGCGUUGAUCCAGAGAUUUCCGAAUGGGGGAACCCACUAUCUUUAGUCGGAUAGUAUCCUUACGUGAAUACAUAGCGUGAGGAAGGCAGACCCAGGGAACUGAAACAUCUAAGUACCUGGAGGAAGAGAAAGAAAAAUCGAUUUCCUGAGUAGCGGCGAGCGAAACGGAAAGAGCCCAAACCAAGAAGCUUGCUUCUUGGGGUUGUAGGACACUCUAUACGGAGUUACAAAAGAAAGUUAUAAAUGAAGCGGUCUGGAAAGGCCCGCCAAAGACGGUAACAGCCCGGUAGUUGAAAUGGCUUUCCCUCCAGAGUGGAUCCUGAGUACGGCGGAACACGUGAAAUUCCGUCGGAAUCCGGGAGGACCAUCUCCCAAGGCUAAAUACUCCCUAGUGACCGAUAGUGAACCAGUACCGUGAGGGAAAGGUGAAAAGCACCCCGGAAGGGGAGUGAAACAGUUCCUGAAACCGUGUGCCUACAAGUAGUUAGAGCCCGUUAAUGGGUGAUAGCGUGCCUUUUGUAGAAUGAACCGGCGAGUUACGAUUUGUUGCAAGGUUAAGCGGAAAAAGCGGAGCCGUAGCGAAAGCGAGUCUGAAUAGGGCGCAUAAGUAACAGGUCGUAGACCCGAAACCAGGUGAUCUACCCAUGUCCAGGAUGAAGGUAAGGUAAUACUUACUGGAGGUCCGAACCCACGCACGUUGAAAAGUGCGGGGAUGAG